GCUCCUGUAGCUCAGUCGGUUAGAGCGUCGUGCUAAUAACGCGAAGGUCCUGGGUUCGAAUCCCAGUAGGAGCA
Non-coding RNA from Pieris brassicae (large cabbage white), 74 nucleotides. The record is from the annotation of a RefSeq genome assembly. NCBI's taxonomy places the organism in Eukaryota, Metazoa, Arthropoda, Insecta, Lepidoptera, Pieridae.